RNAcentral lists this ribosomal RNA (253 nucleotides) under uncultured bacterium. Its description in RNAcentral is "partial 16S ribosomal RNA". It matches the Rfam family "Archaeal small subunit ribosomal RNA", at positions 474 to 727 of the family's 1478-position model. The record is from RNAcentral.
UACCAGCACCCCGAGUGGUCGGGACGAUUAUUGGGCCUAAAGCAUCCGUAGCCGGUUCUACAAGUCUUCCGUUAAAUCCACCUGCUCAACAGUUGGGCUGCAGAGGAUACUAUAGAGCUAGGAGGCGGGAGAGGCAAGCGGUACUUAGUGGGUAGGGGUAAAAUCCGUUGAUCCAUUGAAGACCACCAGUGGCGAAGGCGGCUUGCCAGAACGCACUCGACGGUGAGGGAUGAAAGCUGGGGGAGCAAACCGG